GGGAAGGCAGGAGGAGGGACUUCUUUUCGGACGAUCUGUGAGAGCAAAGCAGACAAGAUGUAGGCAGGGGACUGAUAGUUCUGGUGGCGGAAUCCACCACUGGAAGAUUUCGAACAUAGAAUAGUUGAUGAAUUUAGGAUGAUAGAGUCCGUGCCCAGCGAUUGUGUGAUCUGUUGAUUCUAAACUAAGAUUGUCGGGUGUAUUCCAUUCUGCAACGAUUCAACUGAGCGCCAGUGAAAGCUCCUGCUUCCUGACCUGCUUGAGUUCCAGUCUUGACUUCCUUUGGUGAUGAACAGCAAUGUGGAAAAUUAUUAACCACUCUCUGGGACUUCGGAGGAGCCAUCUUCUGCCUGAUUGUGACACCUGCCCCGUGAUUCCUCCUUCUGUCCAUUCCAACCCAGCAGGUCCAGAGUUUUCACAGACAUAUACUUGCUAGACAUCAUUAAUGCAAGCAGCUCACCAUGCUCUGACCACUCAGUAUGAGGAGUAUAAAGUCCUUUCAUAUCUGCUAUCACCCAGAAAGACUGCAGUUAUUUCCCGUUAAUCUCUAUCAAGAGCAAACCUGUUUCCGAAGCACAUUCUCAACCUGGCUCCUUGCUCCUCAGGGUUAUUCUCUCGUUCUGGCUGAAAUGUCAUUGUCUUGCGGGUAGUCUUGAUGUCUUUUUGCACAAAUGUGAAUUUUCCCUUCCUGAGUAUCACGUAAUUUUGAUUGUAUUUCACCAGGUAUGUAUUUUACUUCAAAAUGAUCCAAACUUAUAUUUUAACCAAACACGGGGGAAUUUCAUUGCUGCCACAUCUAGCAGACGGCACAAAAUAGCACCUGGUUGGAGGAACUAAUUAGGGAUGUUUCUGCACAACGAAUCAGAAGAAUGAAAAGACGUGGAAACCUCUCCUGUCUGAAAUUCAAGCUCACACUCCUGUCCUCUGUUCCUUUCCUUAAAGCUCCACUGGAUGCGGGACUAUUUUUCAAAAUUAAAGUGACCAACACUGGAGAUAAAGUAGUUGGGAUUAAACCUGAAGGCUUAUUUCACCACACUAAAGGAAAGAAAGACCACUGUAUUGUGUCUUACGAAGGCCAUGGUAGGAGGAUGGAGUGUCUGCUGAUCUAUAUGAACAAGGAGCGGCUGGAAAACCAGAAACGUAACUUCUGGAAGUUGGAGCUAUCCAUCUGGCUUACUUACUGAGAACUGUAGGCACCCGCACUGCAAGCAUUAUUUAUAUACUAAGUAAUGCAUUUAAGAUUUAUGAGGAAUGAGAAGUCACACCACACCUAGAAGGGUGUGAACACGGAAUGCCUGCACUCAGGGAGAGAUCUGCGUCAGCUGUAUUUUUGAUCAAAAGUUGUUCCCAUAGUGACAACACUCUCCCCCUUAUCAGUAUUUCUUCUUGUUACUUGGUUACCAAAAUAUGAAAUGAAUACUGAAUGCAGGUCAUGAGCAUGAGAGCGAAUAUAAAGCUAACUAGUUAUCUAGGUCUAACUCUGUCAUGAUUUUUCUUUAUAUUUUUGGUGGUGGUUAAAUACAUAAAUAUAUUCAGUGGUCUAAGUAUAGAACCCAAUAUGAAGCCCACAGCCUCCAAAUGCCUAUUGUAACUUCCCAGAAGUUCACUGAGGUAUACAAACCUUAGGUCUAAUAAAUUCACUGUGUAAUUUUUUUAUUUACAUAAUUGUUAAAAUAAAAUUUAUUAAAAUGUA
Molecule: long non-coding RNA, 1693 nt
Filed under: Mus musculus (house mouse)
Lineage: Eukaryota; Metazoa; Chordata; Mammalia; Rodentia; Muridae
Description: predicted gene, 26760
Source: RNAcentral